RNAcentral lists this ribosomal RNA (503 nucleotides) under uncultured bacterium. RNAcentral describes it as "bacterial SSU rRNA". It matches the Rfam family "Bacterial small subunit ribosomal RNA", at positions 158 to 648 of the family's 1533-position model. The record is from RNAcentral.
CGGUGCUAAUACCGAAUAGUUUGCGGCCUCUCCUGAGGCUGCACGGAAAGACGGUUUCGGCUGUCACUGCAGGAUGGGCCCGCGGCGCAUUAGCUAGUUGGUGGGGUAAUGGCUCACCAAGGCGACGAUGCGUAGCCGACCUGAGAGGGUGAUCGGCCACACUGGGACUGAGACACGGCCCAGACUCCUACGGGAGGCAGCAGUAGGGAAUCUUCCGCAAUGGACGAAAGUCUGACGGAGCAACGCCGCGUGAGUGACGAAGGUUUUCGGAUCGUAAAACUCUGUUGUGAGGGAAGAACAAGUAUCAUUUAACUGAUGGUACCUUGACGGUACCUCACCAGAAAGCCACGGCUAACUACGUGCCAGCAGCCGCGGUAAUACGUAGGUGGCAAGCGUUGUCCGGAAUUAUUGGGCGUAAAGCGCGCGCAGGCAGUCCCUUAAGUCUGAUGUGAAAGCCCACGGCUCAACCGUGGAGGGUCAUUGGAAACUGGGGGACUUGAGUG